Molecule: small nuclear RNA, 143 nt
Filed under: Takifugu rubripes (torafugu)
Lineage: Eukaryota; Metazoa; Chordata; Actinopteri; Tetraodontiformes; Tetraodontidae
Description: U4 spliceosomal RNA (ENSTRUG00000027930.1)
Rfam family: U4 spliceosomal RNA
About the family: U4 small nuclear RNA (U4 snRNA) is a component of the major U2-dependent spliceosome. The structure of U4 snRNA from yeast and human has been reported.
Source: Rfam by way of RNAcentral
AUUCCUGCGCAGUGGCAGGUAUCAUAGUCUAUGAAGUUCUACUGAGACGUUGAUUAUUGCUAGUUGAAAACUUUACCCAAUACCCCGCCUGGUUGAUUUGCAAUAUAAUCAGCUGUGGCAAUUUUUGAUGGUCUCCUUAGAGA